GGAGAUGAGAGGGUGAGAGCUUCUUUUCUCUUGAUUUCUUCAUUUUAGAGGGAGGAGGAAGGGAGGAGGCUAGUCCUCAUCUUGUAAAGAUAUUGCCUUCGUGAUUUAGUCGAAUUUGUGUCUCAAAUCCGUGGCUAAAUCUUGUUGUUUCUUUCAUUUUUUUAGGAUUUUUAGGGUAUUUUUGUGGGAAUUUUCGUACUUUGAGUUUGAACCCAAAUCCCGCGAGGUUUGCAGGGGAAUUUAUUGCUAGGAUACUUGUGAGCAUCUACGAUAUGAUCCCUCAUCAAAUCUCCACAGAUUCGGCUUGAAUUUGAAGUUUUUCCAAAAACUCGUGUUCUGCAAAAUUCGCGAUAGAUACUCGUGCUUUUCGAGAUCUUUUUCAUGGAUCUAUUAGGCCUUGGGUUGUGCAUAUAUGGCUCAAAUUUUGUCCGAAUCGUUGAGUUUUGCGGGAGGAUUUUAGAGUUGAAGUAUCGUUUCUUUUGUUCUUGGUGCUCUUGUUUCCUACUCUGUUAUUCGUGCUACAGGGGGCGAGCGCGAGCUGCUGGAGG
Molecule: long non-coding RNA, 548 nt
Filed under: Setaria viridis
Lineage: Eukaryota; Viridiplantae; Streptophyta; Magnoliopsida; Poales; Poaceae
Description: long non-coding RNA (SVIR_LNC008195)
Source: RNAcentral